RNAcentral lists this ribosomal RNA (254 nucleotides) under uncultured bacterium. RNAcentral's name for it is "partial 16S ribosomal RNA". It matches the Rfam family "Bacterial small subunit ribosomal RNA", at positions 524 to 776 of the family's 1533-position model. The record is from RNAcentral.
UACGUAGGGUGCAAGCGUUGUCCGGAUUUAUUGGGCGUAAAGAGCUCGUAGGUGGUUCGGUAAGUCGGAUGUGAAAUCUCCAGGCUCAACCUGGAGGGGUCAUUCGAUACUGCCGUGACUAGAGUUCGGUAGGGGAGUGUGGAAUUCCCGGUGUAGCAGUGAAAUGCGUAGAUAUCGGGAGGAAUACCGAUGGCGAAGGCAGGUCUCUGGGCUGACACUGACGCUCAUGCACGAAAGCGUGGGGAGCAAACAGG